UUUUUGGCAAGAGGAAAAUAAUAGAAAAGGAAGAGAAAGAGGUGUGUGUUUCUGCUUCUGUUGAAAUACUAUUUGUCCUUUAAGGCUGCCUGCUCUGUGAAGUUUUCCUCAAAUUCUGUCCCAUCCCACUCACCCCUGUCAGACUUAACUACUCUUCCUCCAUCCUGCCAUAAGCAUGUGUGAUAAGAGAAAUCAAAGAGGACUAUCAGUCUUCUGUGCAUAGUGAGGGUGCGUGUGUCUAAAGCAGAGUGCAGAAAUGUCUGCAUU
This 267-nucleotide long non-coding RNA is filed under the name Homo sapiens (human). Its description in RNAcentral is "long non-coding RNA NONHSAT186288". The record is from RNAcentral. Lineage: Eukaryota; Metazoa; Chordata; Mammalia; Primates; Hominidae.